RNAcentral lists this unclassified non-coding RNA (343 nucleotides) under Hevea brasiliensis (rubber tree). Lineage: Eukaryota; Viridiplantae; Streptophyta; Magnoliopsida; Malpighiales; Euphorbiaceae. The record is from RNAcentral.
UGAUGAUGUAUAGUGCGAAGGAAGAAACAGCCCAUUCAAGAACAAAGAACAGCCAAUUAUGUAUAUUUACAACUUCAUAGUCAUUUACAAAAAUUCUACGACUCGUUAACACCUCCCUUUAUAACUGUUUACCACUAAAUUUCUGCGCAUGGUGUGUUAAACUCAAUCAUCAGGAACCUGCAAUCACAGAACCAACAUUCAACCCAAGUAAAAGAGGUACAAAAGAUCAUCAAAUAACAUUCACCAAUAAAAUUUUCAAUCAGUUUAAGGCACCAAAUGUAGUGCUGUUAUUUAACUCCUAUCUCGUGGGUUGAGGGAGAUGAAGCUGAUGACAACACACCCA